This 253-nucleotide ribosomal RNA is filed under the name uncultured bacterium. Its description in RNAcentral is "partial 16S ribosomal RNA". It matches the Rfam family "Bacterial small subunit ribosomal RNA", at positions 524 to 776 of the family's 1533-position model. The record is from RNAcentral.
GACGGAGGGUGCAAGUGUUAUCCGGAAUCACUGGGCGUAAAGCGUCUGUAGGCGGUCAAGUAAGUCAACUGUUAAAUCUUGAGGCUCAACCUCAAAAUCGCAGUCGAAACUAUUAGACUAGAGUAUAGUAGGGGUAAAGGGAAUUUCCAGUGGAGCGGUGAAAUGCGUAGAGAUUGGAAAGAACACCGAUGGCGAAGGCACUCUGCUGGACCAUAACUGACACUCAGGGACGAAAGCUAGGGGAGCGAAUGGG